CUUUGGGGUGAAAUUUCAUGUCAUAGGCACUUUAAACUCUCUACUAACUUCCCGACUCAGGAUCUUCGCUCGAAACGUCGAAAUUCUCCUUGCAAGAGCCUGUUCGCAGGCUACUCCUUGUAUUUUUCAGGUAGCUGUAUCCCCCUCAAUCCCCAGUUGUCUUGUUAUCCUUGCUGCCUACACUGACACAGACGUUUGAGCUCCAUAUAUAUCUGGAGUGAAAACUCGAGUCCUGAAAGUGAAGCCAAAGAUGGAGCUAUUGUGACGUCAGUUUCAAUUCCUUUCUAUUGUUUUUGUCCGCGCGUUCUACAAGGAAUGUGCCGAAAUUCCGUAUUUUGACGUCCAUUUAAAGAAUGCUACUAUGGUUUUAUCAACUGAUAACUUGAUUAGCGAUAUGG
This is a non-coding RNA of Paramuricea clavata, 398 nucleotides long. NCBI's taxonomy places the organism in Eukaryota, Metazoa, Cnidaria, Anthozoa, Malacalcyonacea, Plexauridae. The record is from the annotation of a GenBank genome assembly.